Molecule: microRNA precursor, 154 nt
Filed under: Amborella trichopoda
Lineage: Eukaryota; Viridiplantae; Streptophyta; Magnoliopsida; Amborellales; Amborellaceae
Description: MIR8565 microRNA precursor family
Rfam family: MIR8565 microRNA precursor family
Source: Rfam by way of RNAcentral
CCCACACUCAUGUGUGUAGGACCCCAAAGAAUUACCAUUAAAUUUGGCACAGGUCUGAAGAAAAGUUAUCACAUGGGUGUGGGACUUGAUUUUUUUUUAGAUUUGUGCCAAAUUUAAUAGUGAUCCUUAGAGGUCCUGCACACAUGGGUGUGGG